AGAAGAGCGCAGGGGCUGAAGCCGUGCUGCCAGCGUGGGGCUGGGGAAGGCAGUCCCUGGGGCUUGGCUGGCCUUGGGGCACUGAGGCAGCUGCUGCCAGCUCUCCUGCCUCCUGCUGCAGCUGCCCGAGUGCUUUGGCACAGGCCUUUGGCCCCUGGGCCCUGUGGCAGCAGGAUGGUGUUUCACACACUUGUGUUCCACAAGUAGAUGGCCAUAAGGAUGUGGAGCCUGCAUGAAAGGCUCAUGGAGCUCCUGCAGGAAAAUGACAGUGUCAUGCUCAGGAUGACCACGGUUCUCCUCAGGGGUUUAUUUCUCUGCAAUGGUGCCCCAAUAACCAGCGCCCUCGCCCUGCAGCUGGCUGAGGCGCUCCUGCCACUCUUUGACAACGAGGAUAGCCAGGUGAAGUUGUGCUCCAUGUUUGUCUUCCGAGAGAUGCUGGAUUUUUUUCCAGAAGAGGAUAAAAAGGCCCUGAAGACACACGUGCACCAGAGCCUGCUGCCACUCUCCUUCCACUGCCAUGAUGAGAACCAGCGAGUGGCAGAGGCUUCUCAGGAAACGCUGCUUUGUGCGGCCAAGUUCCUGAAGAGGAGGGAUCUUGAAAAGCUGGUGAAGAACCAGGAGCUGUGGAAGUUCACCGAGUGCCUGCUGGCAGAGGACAGCAGCAGCGUGGCCGAGCACCUGCGCCGGGCCCUGCCCUACCUGCAGAGCCCACAGGAGCCCCUGCGAGAGGCGCCGUCAGGUUCAUGGGGAUGGCCGGGAGGAGCUUGAGGGGACAGCAGGAAAAGCUCCAGCUGAUCCUCAAUGGUGAGACAGGGCAGCGGGCUGACAGCGGGGGCUGCCGGGGCGAGCUGCAAGCCCUGCCCCGGCUGUGGAGAGCUCUGCUCUCCUAGGUAGAGCACACAGAGAUUUCAGGGACACGUGGGGGAUGCGUGGCCAGCAGCUUCGGGCUGAUCCCCUUGGUCCCUGAUCCCUCCCGGCCAUGGCAAGAGCCGGCUGGGAUGGCCCUGGCAGGGGGGGCUCCCCUCGGCUCCCCGCAGAGUCGGGAUCUGACCGUGGCUCUGUUCCUCUCUCUUGCAGCCCUUGAAUGCCUGACAGAGGAUGUCAGUAGUGCCAUGUCAGAGCUGGCACUUCAAACAUUGCAUGUGCUCCGGGCAAUACAGAGUGGGCAAUACUCCAUCUUCCAGAAGCCCUUCAAGCCAUGAGCGAAGAUGACAGCCCAUCCUCCACUAACCUGGAAAUUCAGGCAGUUUUUGGACAAAGAUGUGCAGAACUAAGGUCAUCUGCUGGAUUCAGAGAACCAGGCUCCCAAGCAGAGUACCAGGAGACAGUGAAGAGAGCAGCAGGACUCAAUGUCACUGGAGCUCCAGGCACACCUGAUGCUGGCCACAGCUGUGCCUGCUGCAAGCUCCCAUAGCUGCUGCCUUCCCCCUCCCUGUUGACAGCUCCCUCCCUCCAGCCCUCAAACGCUGCCCAUUCCCUUUUUUUGGCCCCCAUCUCAUCCCUUCCCUUUCCCUUCCAUUAAUAAACAGUUUGGUUUCUCCCCCUUA
This is a non-coding RNA of Taeniopygia guttata (zebra finch), 1547 nucleotides long. The record is from RefSeq and is a predicted model, not a curated record. NCBI's taxonomy places the organism in Eukaryota, Metazoa, Chordata, Aves, Passeriformes, Estrildidae.